CCUACGGGAGGCAGCAGUGGGGAAUAUUGCACAAUGGGGGGAACCCUGAUGCAGCGACGCCGCGUGAGUGAAGGAGUGUUUCGGUGUGUAAAGCUCUAUCGGCAGGGAAGAAGAUGGCGGUACCUGAUUAAGAAGCCCCGGCUAACUACGUGCCAGCAGCCGCGGUAAUACGUAGGGGGCAAGCGUUAUCCGGAUUUACUGGGUGUAAAGGGAGCGUAGACGGCAGCACAAGUCUGGAGUGAAAUGCCGGGGCUCAACCCCGGGACUGCUUUUGAAACUGUGCAGCUAGAGUGCAGGAGAGGCAAGCGGAAUUCCUAGUGUAGCGGUGAAAUGCGUAGAUAUUAGGAGGAACACCAGUGGCGAAGGCGGCUUACUGGACUGCAACUGACGUUGAGGCUCGAAAGCGUGGGGAGCAAACAGGAUUAGAUACCCGAGUAGUC
This 440-nucleotide ribosomal RNA is filed under the name uncultured bacterium. RNAcentral describes it as "partial 16S ribosomal RNA". It matches the Rfam family "Bacterial small subunit ribosomal RNA", at positions 338 to 795 of the family's 1533-position model. The record is from RNAcentral.